GUGCACGGGGAGGGGGUCGCGGCCUAUCAGCUAGUUGGCGGGGUAACGGCCCACCAAGGCGACGACGGGUAGCUGGUCUGAGAGGAUGGCCAGCCACAUUGGGACUGAGAGACGGCCCAG
RNAcentral lists this ribosomal RNA (120 nucleotides) under uncultured bacterium. Its description in RNAcentral is "partial 16S ribosomal RNA". It matches the Rfam family "Bacterial small subunit ribosomal RNA", at positions 215 to 334 of the family's 1533-position model. The record is from RNAcentral.